GAUGAAGAAUGUAGCGAAAUGCGAUAAGUAAUGUGAAUUGCAGAAUUCAGUGAAUCAUCGAAUCUUUGAACGCACCUUGCGCCCUUUGGCCAUUCCGAAGGGCAUGCCUGUUUGAGUAUCAUGAACACCUCAACUCUUCAUGGUUUUCCGUGAUGAGCUUGGACUUUGGGGGUCUUGCUGGCCUAUGGUCAGCUCCUCUAAAAUAAAUCAGCUUGCCAGUGUUUGGUGGGUAUCACAGGUGUGAUAACUAUCUACGCUUGUGGUUUUCCACCAGGUAACCUUCAGCAGUGGAGGUUCGCUGGAGCUCACAGAUGUGUCUCUCCUCAGUGAGGACAGCUCUUUGAAUGUUUGAUCUCAAAUCAGGUAGGACUACCCGCUGAACUUAAGCAUAUCAAUAAGCGGAGGA
This 406-nucleotide unclassified non-coding RNA is filed under the name soil metagenome. Its description in RNAcentral is "partial contains 5.8S ribosomal RNA, internal transcribed spacer 2, and large subunit ribosomal RNA". The stretch from base 1 to 121 matches the Rfam family "5.8S ribosomal RNA", at positions 35 to 154 of the family's 154-position model. The record is from RNAcentral.